GAUGAACGCUGGCGGCGUGCCUAAUACAUGCAAGUCGAGCGAACAGACGAGGAGCUUGCUCCUCUGACGUUAGCGGCGGACGGGUGAGUAACACGUGGAUAACCUACCUAUAAGACUGGGAUAACUUCGGGAAACCGGAGCUAAUACCGGAUAAUAUAUUGAACCGCAUGGUUCAAUAGUGAAAGACGGUUUUGCUGUCACUUAUAGAUGGAUCCGCGCCGCAUUAGCUAGUUGGUAAGGUAACGGCUUACCAAGGCAACGAUGCGUAGCCGACCUGAGAGGGUGAACAGCCACACCAGAACUGAAACACGGUCCAGACUCCUACGGGAGGCAGCAGUAGGGAAUCUUCCGCGAUGGGCGGAAGCCUGGCGGAGCAACGCCGCGUGAGUGAUGAAGGUCUUCGGAUCGUAAAACUCUGUUAUUAGGGAAGAACAAAUGUGUAAGUAACUAUGCACGUCUUGACGGUACCUAAUCAGAAAGCCACGGCUAACUACGUG
This 497-nucleotide ribosomal RNA is filed under the name uncultured bacterium. Its description in RNAcentral is "partial 16S ribosomal RNA". It matches the Rfam family "Bacterial small subunit ribosomal RNA", at positions 28 to 507 of the family's 1533-position model. The record is from RNAcentral.